RNAcentral lists this ribosomal RNA (229 nucleotides) under uncultured bacterium. RNAcentral describes it as "partial 16S ribosomal RNA". It matches the Rfam family "Bacterial small subunit ribosomal RNA", at positions 568 to 796 of the family's 1533-position model. The record is from RNAcentral.
CGCGUAGGCGGAAUAUUAAGUCAGUGGUGAAAUCCUGCGGCUCAACCGUAGAACUGCCAUUGAUACUGUUAUUCUUGAAUGUAGUUGAGGUAGGCGGAAUGUGUAAUGUAGCGGUGAAAUGCUUAGAUAUUACACAGAACACCGAUUGCGAAGGCAGCUUACUAAACUAUGAUUGACGCUGAUGCACGAAAGCGUGGGGAGCGAACAGGAUUAGAUACCCUGGUAGUCC